Long non-coding RNA from Phyllostomus discolor (pale spear-nosed bat), 1285 nucleotides. RefSeq lists it as uncharacterized. Lineage: Eukaryota; Metazoa; Chordata; Mammalia; Chiroptera; Phyllostomidae. The record is from RefSeq and is a predicted model, not a curated record. The transcript is spliced from 2 exons.
UGUUGGCAGGAGGGAGGGAUGGUCAGAAACUAACAACUAAAGUAAGAGCUGACUUUGGUUGUGUUCUUGGGGUGUAGGCCAAAACACCACUGUCAACUGAGUGAUGAGAAUGGGGGAGGUCACAGGUACUCGAACCGCAGGAUGGUGGGUGACUGCACUGGCUCCACACACGUGGAGCGCAGCACUGAAACGGCCUGCUUCCCGGGAGAGACAGGGCAGCUGCCGUGGCUUCGGGACGGUAGGCUGUGAGUGCAGACGGGACCACUGGCCUCCUCGGCGGCUGUGUGCCUACUGUGUCUUCCCACAUUCCUAAGUUGACACCUACCUCCCCCAGGGGCAUAGAGUUAGGAUGGAGGGCCCCUGGGAGCUGAUCAGGAUUAGAUAAGGUCAAAAGGUGGGCCUCUCUCGAUAGGGUUGGUGUCCUUGUCAGGAGAGGAAGAGACCAGGGCUGGCUCUCCACGUGAGAGGACGCAGCCAGGCGGUGGUCAGGAAGGAGGCCCUCACCGGGAGCGGCCCUACUGGCACUUCGAUCUCAGACGUGGAGCCUCUGCCAUCAUGACAAGUGUCUGCGGGAGGAGCAGGCCAGCCCGUACUGUGCUGUUAGGGCCACCUGGGCAGGCUUCCAUAGCAGCCAGCGUGGCAGUGAUAAGAGCCAGCGUUGGUUUCCUCCUUGAUUUUAGAGCAAGGAAAGGAGAAAGAGAGAGAAACAUUGAUUUGUUGUCCAUUCAUUGAUGCAUUCAUUCAUUGGCUGAUUGUUGUAUGUGCCCUGACCAGGAAUCGAACCUAGAACCCUGGCAUAUUGGGGUGAUGCCCUAACUGACUGAACUACCUACCCAGCCAGGGCUAAAGUCAUCAUUCCUGAAAAAUGUUUAAUGGGAUUCCAGGUCUUCAAAGACAAUGGUAGCUUUCUAACAGACCCUUCGAGCAUUUUCCAUCCAAAGAACCACCAGAAAAUAGACCAGGUGUGUACAAUACCCUGUUCACACUUCCCUGUGUGGUGUCUUGGCCUUCUGCCCACUCUGAUCCCUCCAACAGCCCGCGUGGGUGCACGGGCAGGAGGGCUGACUGGCCAGGUGGCCAGAGGCAGAGGGGGGGUUGUAGGGAAUCCAGCAGGUGGCCCUUGCCCCUGUGGAUGGGGAACCCGCUUCACCAGGUAGAAACCUCAAGCCCAGGCCGGCCAAGCUUGCCCCCAACAGCACUUGAGGUGUGAAAAACAUCUGGGAUCAGAAGUUCAUAAAAUAAGGACAGAAACGGGCAAGAAACAACAGGAACAGUGGCUUGAACU